Molecule: ribosomal RNA, 425 nt
Filed under: uncultured bacterium
Lineage: Bacteria
Description: partial 16S ribosomal RNA
Rfam family: Bacterial small subunit ribosomal RNA
Source: RNAcentral
GUGGGGAAUCUUGCGCAAUGGGCGAAAGCCUGACGCAGCCAUGCCGCGUGAAUGAUGAAGGUCUUAGGAUUGUAAAAUUCUUUCACCGGGGACGAUAAUGACGGUACCCGGAGAAGAAGCUCCGGCUAACUUCGUGCCAGCAGCCGCGGUAAUACGAAGGUCCCAAGCGUUGUUCGGAAUCACUGGGCGUAAAGGGAGCGUAGGCGGCGUGGUAAGUCAGAUGUGAAAUCCCGGGGCUCAACCCCGGAACUGCAUCCGAUACUGCCAUGCUUGAGGGUUGGAGAGGUAGCUGGAAUUCUCGGUGUAGCAGUGAAAUGCGUGGAUAUCGAGAGGAACACUCGUGGCGAAGGCGAGCUACUGGACAACAUCUGACGCUGAGGCUCGAAGGCCAGGGGAGCAAAAGGGAUUAGAUACCCUUGUAGUCC